AAGCAAACAAUUAUGCCCUCUGAAAGUUUUAGGUAUGUAUUUAAGGAUGUCACGAAAAUAAUUUUCCUAUUUUAGUGUUUAGGUAGAAGCUGCAUUGGAUAGCUGCGUUUCCUGUGUUUUCUGUUUGAAGCAAUGUCAUUAUAUCAGCUUAUUCUAGCCUGUAGCAUCUUGGGAGUUGGAGUAUUUCCAAUACCCAUACCUCAAUUUUAUGGUAAGAAAUAGCUUUUUUUAUUGAUUUCCAUUCUGAUCCGAUGUAUACAGACUAUAA
Molecule: long non-coding RNA, 268 nt
Organism: Parasteatoda tepidariorum (common house spider)
Lineage: Eukaryota; Metazoa; Arthropoda; Arachnida; Araneae; Theridiidae
Source: RefSeq, a predicted model, not a curated record